GUGGGGGAUAUUGCACAAUGGGGGAAACCCUGAUGCAGCGACGCCGCGUGAAGGAAGACGUACUUCGGUAUGUAAACUUCUAUCAGCAGGGAAGAAGAUGACGGUACCUGACUAAGAAGCCCCGGCUAACUACGUGCCAGCAGCCGCGGUAAUACGUAGGGGGCAAGCGUUAUCCGGAUUUACUGGGUGUAAAGGGAGCGUAGACGGUGAAGCAAGUCUGAUGUGAAAACCCGGGGCUCAACUCCGGGAUUGCAUUGGAAACUGUUUUACUUGAGUGCUGGAGGGGCAAGCGGAAUUCCUGGUGUAGCGGUGAAAUGCGUAGAUAUCAGGAAGAACACCGGUGGCGAAGGCGGCUUGCUGGACAGUAACUGACGUUGAGGCUCGAAAGCGUGGGGAGCAAACAGGAUUAGAUACCCGGGUAGUCC
This 425-nucleotide ribosomal RNA is filed under the name uncultured bacterium. RNAcentral's name for it is "partial 16S ribosomal RNA". It matches the Rfam family "Bacterial small subunit ribosomal RNA", at positions 354 to 796 of the family's 1533-position model. The record is from RNAcentral.